Molecule: ribosomal RNA, 253 nt
Filed under: uncultured bacterium
Lineage: Bacteria
Description: partial 16S ribosomal RNA
Rfam family: Bacterial small subunit ribosomal RNA
Source: RNAcentral
UACAGGGGGUGCAAACGUUGCUCGGAAUUAUUGGGCGUAAAGCGCGCGUAGGCGGCUACCUAAGUCGGAUGUGAAAGCCCCUGGCUCAACUGGGGAAGUGCACCCGAAACUGAGUAGCUAGAGUGCAAAAGAGGGACGCGGAAUUCCCGGUGUAGAGGUGAAAUUCGUAGAUAUCGGGAGGAACACCGGUGGCGAAGGCGGCGACCUGGGUUGACACUGACGCUGAGGCGCGAAAGCGUGGGGAGCAAACAGG